Molecule: ribosomal RNA, 481 nt
Filed under: uncultured bacterium
Lineage: Bacteria
Description: partial 16S ribosomal RNA
Rfam family: Bacterial small subunit ribosomal RNA
Source: RNAcentral
GAUGAACGCUGGCGGCGUGCUUAACACAUGCAAGUCGAACGAAGCAUUUGCGACAGAUUUUUUCGGAAUGAAGUUGCUUAUGACUGAGUGGCGGACGGGUGAGUAACGCGUGGGUAACCUGCCUUGUACUGGGGGAUAGCAGCUGGAAACGGCUGGUAAUACCGCAUAAGCGCACAAUGUUUCAUGACAUGGUGUGAAAAACUCCGGUGGUAUAAGAUGGACCCGCGUCUGAUUAGCUAGUUGGUGAGAUAACAGCCCACCAAGGCGACGAUCAGUAGCCGACCUGAGAGGGUGACCGGCCACAUUGGGACUGAGACACGGCCCAGACUCCUACGGGAGGCAGCAGUGGGGAAUAUUGCACAAUGGAGGAAACUCUGAUGCAGCGACGCCGCGUGAGUGAAGAAGUAAUUCGUUAUGUAAAGCUCUAUCAGCAGGGAAGUUAGUGACGGUACCUGACUAAGAAGCUCCGGCUAAAUACGUG